This 1083-nucleotide long non-coding RNA is filed under the name Monodelphis domestica (gray short-tailed opossum). Its description in RNAcentral is "lncRNA (ENSMODG00000045749.1)". Lineage: Eukaryota; Metazoa; Chordata; Mammalia; Didelphimorphia; Didelphidae. The record is from RNAcentral.
CUGGAUUGGCUGCCUGGGACCACACAGAAGAGUCGAGAAAGGCCCCUUCCCAUAAACAUCUCUGCCCUGGGCAAUAAGCCUCCUGAUGGGGAGGUUGAUGGAAUAGCAGGAUUAGAGCAGCCAGCCAAGCCUUCUCUGGUCCUGGUGCCAGAGAAAUGGGGGGCUACCCCUCUAUCUUGUCUGCAGUGGCCCUCUCACUUGUGGAAACACAUCUCCAAGGUAGGACAAGUUGGCUGUGGAUGGGCAGACCUUUAUGGCCUCCCAGUAGGCCUGACUCCCACACAAGUUUCCUUUUCAAAGUUCUGUAGCUUAGGAGAAAGGCCCUUGGAGUGAGGGGACUUGAGCUCCAGGCCAGAUGCUACCACCCACCUAGCAGCCCAGCCCGAGAGCCAGGGAAGAGCAAAAAGGCCAUUUUGUCUCAAAUAUUGAGUAGACCAAGGGGAAUCAGCAUGAAUUAAGCCUGGAGAGGUGGCCAACAUCAAGCCAUGCUGUGAAAUGCCAAGAAGAGACUGUUUUAUUUUGUCACCAGCCCACUGAAGAUCGAGGAGGAGCAAAACGAUGUAUUUGAGGACAUCUGCUCAUCUGAAUGAGCUCAGUCUCUCACUUGAGAGAUGAUGGAACCGAAUCCCAGAAACAGGAAGGGCUUUGUCCACAGUUACUCAGUGAGCAAGGGAGGAGGGAAUCCUAGCUUCUGCUCCAGGAGCACCAUCUGUCCCUCUGACACAACGAUGGAUUUCCUGGGACCACAAUGCCAUUGGCAGAUGUGUGCUACCUCCCAGAAAGUGGUGUGUGAGGAAGAGCAUCAAAGAAAGGCAGGCAUUUGAAAUCUCCAGGGAGGUCCUGUUUACCAGCUCAGGCCAACUGAAGAGUGUCCUAUAUUAUGUCAUCCAGAAAAUGUUGUCAUUGUGAACUUGUCUCCUCCCAUCCUUGGGAUCUGCCAUGGAAACUUCACCCCCAAAGGAUCUGAGGCUUCUGAGCAAAGCUUUGAAUCUUGGGUGUAUUUGGAGAAGGAUGGUAGGGAUUGCAAAUAAAUGAUGUAAUGAUUUCAGCACUGAGAGUAUUGUUUUCUUGCUGCAUCUAAAG